This 253-nucleotide ribosomal RNA is filed under the name uncultured bacterium. RNAcentral describes it as "partial 16S ribosomal RNA". It matches the Rfam family "Bacterial small subunit ribosomal RNA", at positions 524 to 776 of the family's 1533-position model. The record is from RNAcentral.
UACGUAGGGUGCGAGCGUUAAUCGGAAUUACUGGGCGUAAAGCGUGCGCAGGCGGUUUUGUAAGCCAGGUGUGAAAUCCCCGGGCUCAACCUGGGAAUGGCAUUUGGGACUGCAAGGCUGGAGUGUGGCAGAGGAGACUGGAACUCCUGGUGUAGCAGUGAAAUGCGUAGAUAUCAGGAGGAACACCGAUGGCGAAGGCAGGUCUCUGGGCUGACACUGACGCUCAUGCACGAAAGCGUGGGGAGCAAACAGG